RNAcentral lists this ribosomal RNA (297 nucleotides) under Caphyra tridens. RNAcentral's name for it is "partial 28S ribosomal RNA". The record is from RNAcentral. Lineage: Eukaryota; Metazoa; Arthropoda; Malacostraca; Decapoda; Portunidae.
CCUCCUCCGCCUGUACGCAGGGGGGCGCAGGCCCGGGACUUGCCACCCGACGCCGUCGCGCGAAGCUGUUGUUGGCCUCGCCGGCUCUGCUUGGGCUCUCGUUUGGCGUGCCGCGUGUCUUUGGGCGGGUCGCUGUAGUCGUCGUCAUGGCGACUGUGGCCCGUCCGGCGCGGUGGCGCUUCUCGAUCCUGCUCUGUCCGGCGUGGCCUAGCGCGCGUGCUGUCGGCAAGUACCAUGAGCAUACAUGUUGGGACCCGAAAGAUGGUGAACUAUGCCUGGCCAGGAUGAAGCCAGAGA